RNAcentral lists this ribosomal RNA (490 nucleotides) under uncultured bacterium. Its description in RNAcentral is "partial 16S ribosomal RNA". It matches the Rfam family "Bacterial small subunit ribosomal RNA", at positions 30 to 507 of the family's 1533-position model. The record is from RNAcentral.
UGAACGCUGGCGGCAUGCUUUACACAUGCAAGUCGAACGGUAACAGGCCUUCGGGUGCUGACGAGUGGCGAACGGGUGAGUAAUGCAUCGGAACGUACCCAGAGGUGGGGGAUAACGCAGCGAAAGCUGUGCUAAUACCGCAUGUGAUCUGAGGAUGAAAGCGGGGGACCGAGCAGCAAUGUUUGGCCUCGCGCCUUUGGAGCGGCCGAUGUCGGAUUAGCUAGUUGGUGGGGUAAAGGCCUACCAAGGCGACGAUCCGUAGCUGGUCUGAGAGGACGACCAGCCACACUGGGACUGAGACACGGCCCAGACUCCUACGGGAGGCAGCAGUGGGGAAUUUUGGACAAUGGGCGCAAGCCUGAUCCAGCAAUGCCGCGUGCGGGAAGAAGGCCUUCGGGUUGUAAACCGCUUUUGGCAGGAACGAAACGGUGUCCGCUAAUACCGGGCGCUAAUGACGGUACCUGCAGAAUAAGCACCGGCUAACUACGUG